AGAGCGAAUGCUGGCGGCAGGCCUAAUACAUGCAAGUCGAACGGACCCUUCGGGGUUAGUGGCGGACGGGUGAGUAACACGUGGGAACGUGCCCUUUGGUUCGGAACAACUCAGGGAAACUUGAGCUAAUACCGAAUGUGCCCCCAUCCUUAAACAAGAUGGGUGGGAAAGAUUUAUCGCCAUUGGAGCGGCCCGCGUCUGAUUAGCUAGUUGGUGAGGUAAAGGCUCACCAAGGCGACGAUCAGUAGCUGGUCUGAGAGGAUGAUCAGCCACACUGGGACUGAGACACGGCCCAGACUCCUACGGGAGGCAGCAGUAGGGAAUCUUGCGCAAUGGGCGAAAGCCUGACGCAGCCAUGCCGCGUGAAUGAUGAAGGUCUUAGGAUUGUAAAAAUUCUUUCAGCGGGGACGAUAAUGACGGUACCCGCAGAAGAAGCCCCGGCUAACUUCGUGCCAGCAGCCGC
Molecule: ribosomal RNA, 463 nt
Filed under: uncultured bacterium
Lineage: Bacteria
Description: SSU rRNA
Rfam family: Bacterial small subunit ribosomal RNA
Source: RNAcentral